CCACUUUGAAGAUUAGCUGAAAGGUCUGAAGGAGAACACGAGCUGCUCUUCUUCAACCACACUGUCACAUCAGGCUCAGAGGAUGUAAAGAAGAGUGGAUGAAGAUGAUGAUGAUGGAAGCUGACUCCCUCUGUCCCAGUGACUCUACAGGAAGUUCCAACUCAGAGUGUGGGGGGAUAUGACUGUGGAUGAAAUCCUCAUCCUCCUGAAGCCAUGGCAAUUCUCCAGUAUCUACAACAGCCAGGAUUUCAAUACAGAAGGUUUGUUUGCAUGGCUGAGGGGAGUUUUUAUGGUUGACAUUAUAAUAUUGCAUGUAUAAAAUAUGUGUAAACUAUUGAAU
This is a long non-coding RNA of Catharus ustulatus (Swainson's thrush), 340 nucleotides long. RefSeq lists it as uncharacterized. NCBI's taxonomy places the organism in Eukaryota, Metazoa, Chordata, Aves, Passeriformes, Turdidae. The transcript is spliced from 3 exons. The record is from RefSeq and is a predicted model, not a curated record.